Molecule: long non-coding RNA, 740 nt
Filed under: Medicago truncatula (barrel medic)
Lineage: Eukaryota; Viridiplantae; Streptophyta; Magnoliopsida; Fabales; Fabaceae
Description: lncRNA gene26343
Source: RNAcentral
ACUAAACAAAUACCGGAUUCCCUAAAGUUUAUUCUAAAAAUCUAAAAAUUCUCAGGGACAUACUAGUCUCGCCGUCUAACUUCUUAAUCUCUUACAUAGGACUCUUCAUGUUGAAGGAGGAAUUUCCCAAUCCUUUGAUACCGGUCCAUAAUCAUAAAUUAUCUCUCUAUGGCAAGACCAUACAAGUUUUAUAGCCUCUGGUGUUCCAAUCCCUGCACCUCUGGGGUCACCGGCUGGUCCAAACCUGCAUAAACACAAUAAUAUUUUUUCAUAAAUUGAUGCAUCAAUACAUAUAUUUUGGCUCCAAAGAACAAAUAAAAUCACUUGAAAGACAUCUACUUACCAGUGAUUUUGUGGAGCUCCAGUUGUCCUUGCUCUUAGACCAGCAUAAGUAGUGCCAUUUACUGAUUUCCCAAUCACUUCCUGCAAAUUUAUUUUUACCCAUAAAUGAUCAUAUGUCAUAUUGAGACCACCUAUAAAGCCAGAAAUAUUUCAAAAAAUAACCCCACCCAUUGAUUUUCGGAUUUAAAGGAUAUGUAAUGUGGGUGUAAAACCAACUUUGUACUGACAUUUAAUAAACUAAUUUGCACCGACAUCCCAUUAAACUCUUUCUUUUUAUUGUUCAAGGAACAAGUAGCAUGUCCAUUAGUCAUCGCAACUUAAGAGAAGCCAUACGUACAUUAAUAAUAUCAAGUCUAAUAUCCUAAAAGCUGUAACUUUUUUUUUGGAGUGAAAUAUGA